RNAcentral lists this ribosomal RNA (935 nucleotides) under uncultured delta proteobacterium. RNAcentral describes it as "bacterial SSU rRNA". It matches the Rfam family "Bacterial small subunit ribosomal RNA", at positions 8 to 916 of the family's 1533-position model. The record is from RNAcentral. Lineage: Bacteria; Deltaproteobacteria.
AGAGUUUGAUCCUGGCUCAGAACGAACGCUGGCGGCGUGCCUAACACAUGCAAGUCGUGCGAGAACAGGGGGGCAACUCCCUUAGUAAAGCGGCGCACGGGUGAGUAACACGUAGGUAACCUACCCUCGAGCCCGGGAUAACCUGCCGAAAGGUGGGCUAAUACCGGAUAUGACCACGGGAGUUUCGGCUCCUGCGGUGAAAGGUGGCCUCUGCUUGCAAGCUACUACUCGUGGAUGGGCCUGCGCGCCAUUAGCUAGUUGGCGGGGUAACGGCCCACCAAGGCUAUGAUGGCUAGCUGGUCUAAGAGGAUGGCCAGCCACACUGGGACUGACACACGGCCCAGACUCCUACGGGAGGCAGCAGUGGGGGAUAUUGCGCAAUGGGCGAAAGCCUGACGCAGCGACGCCGCGUGGGUGAUGAAGGCCUUCGGGUCGUAAAGCCCUGUCGAGGGGAAAGAAACGACUCCGACCCAACACGUCGGGGUCUUGACGGUACCCCUAAAGGAAGCACCGGCUAACUCCGUGCCAGCAGCCGCGGUAAUACGGAGGGUGCUAGCGUUGUUCGGAAUUACUGGGCGUAAAGCGCGUGUAGGCGGUCCGCUAAGUCUGAUGUGAAAGCCCGGGGCUCACCCCCGGAAGGGCAUUGGAAACUGGCGAACUCGAGUCCCGGAGAGGAGAGUGGAAUUCCUGGUGUAGCGGUGAAAUGCGUAGAUAUCAGGAGGAACACCGGUGGCGAAGGCGGCUCUCUGGACGGUGACUGACGCUGAGACGCGAAAGCGUGGGGAGCAAACAGGAUUAGAUACCCUGGUAGUCCACGCUGUAAACGAUGAGCACUAGGUGUCGCGGGUAUUGACCCCUGCGGUGCCGCAGCUAACGCAUUAAGUGCUCCGCCUGGGGACUACGGCCGCAAGGUUAAAACUCAAAGGAAUUGACGG